RNAcentral lists this ribosomal RNA (253 nucleotides) under uncultured bacterium. RNAcentral describes it as "partial 16S ribosomal RNA". It matches the Rfam family "Bacterial small subunit ribosomal RNA", at positions 524 to 776 of the family's 1533-position model. The record is from RNAcentral.
UACGUAGGGGGCAAGCGUUGUCCGGAAUUAUUGGGCGUAAAGAGCGCGCAGGCGGUCGUUCAAGUCGAGUGUGAAAGCCCCCGGCUCAACUGGGGAGGGUCACUCGAUACUGAUCGACUCGAAGGCAGGAGAGGGAAGUGGAAUUCCCGGUGUAGUGGUGAAAUGCGUAGAUAUCGGGAGGAACACCAGUGGCGAAGGCGGUUGCCUGGAGCUUUGCUGACGCUGAGGCGCGAAAGCGUGGGGAGCGAUCCGG